RNAcentral lists this ribosomal RNA (254 nucleotides) under uncultured bacterium. RNAcentral's name for it is "partial 16S ribosomal RNA". It matches the Rfam family "Bacterial small subunit ribosomal RNA", at positions 524 to 776 of the family's 1533-position model. The record is from RNAcentral.
UACGUAGGGUGCGAGCGUUGUCCGGAAUUAUUGGGCGUAAAGAGCUCGUAGGCGGUGUGUCGCGUCGGCCGUGAAAACCUGGGGCUCAACUCUGGGCGUGCGGUCGAUACGGGCAUCACUUGAGUUCGGCAGGGGAGACUGGAAUUCUCGGUGUAGCGGUGAAAUGCGUAGAUAUCGAGAGGAACACCUGCGGCGAAGGCGGGUUGCUGGGCUGACACUGACGCUGAGGCGCGAAAGCUAGGGGAGCGAACGGG